Molecule: ribosomal RNA, 438 nt
Filed under: uncultured bacterium
Lineage: Bacteria
Description: partial 16S ribosomal RNA
Rfam family: Bacterial small subunit ribosomal RNA
Source: RNAcentral
CCUACGGGUGGCAGCAGUGGGGAAUAUUGCACAAUGGGCGAAAGCCUGAUGCAGCAACGCCGCGUGAGCGAUGAAGGCCUUCGGGUCGUAAAGCUCUGUCCUCAAGGAAGAUAAUGAUGGAACUUGAGGAGGAAGCCCCGGCAAACUACGUGCCAGCGGCCGGGGUAAUACGUAGGGGGCUAGAGUUAUCCGGAAGUACUGGGCGAAAGGGGUGCGUAGGGGGUUUUUAAGGUAAGGGGUGAAAGGCUACGGCCCAACCGUAGUAAGCCUUUGAAACGGGGAAACUUGAGUGCAGGAGGGGAGAGUGGAAGUCCUGGUGUGGCGGUGAAAGGCGUAGAUAUUAGGAGGAACACCAGUUGCGAAGGCGGCUCUCGGUACUGUAACUGCCACUGGGGCACGAAAGCGUGGGGAGCAAACAGGAUUAGAUACCCUUGUAGC